GUUUCUCCUCCUCGCUCCGUGCACCGCCCUCAUCCUCCCCGAGACCCAAGGGUCCCUUUGCUGGUUUUCAGGCGCUGCCUCCACAGGUGCCCCCCGUGCCCUGCAGCAGCCCCAGCAGCCCCCAGCGCGUCCCAAGCGCUCCCCAGCUCGGCUCCCGGGGAGGCAGAGGGCAGCGAGGAGAUCCGUAGCCUCGAGGGAAGUCAGCGCGAGACGCAGAUUUACAGGUCCUGGUUCCUGGCCCAGGUUCAAACCACAUUCGUUCCCGAAAUCUGUUUCGGCGCUUUCUUUUCCGAGCCGUGCACGGCAGAGGCAUGUGCAAAGCGCCGCCGAGGGCCUCGCAGCGAGGCCGCCCGUGCCACAACAGGACCCGGGCGCACCUGAGCUGCGCCGCAGCCCAUGCGGGUCCAGCUGUGCUCAGCCAAACAAAAAAACACCCCCCCCCUUUUUCCAGCCCUCCCGACUGGACCUCAGGGUGGACUAUCUCAUGGCUCACUGCCAGUUUAAAACAUCAAGGGCCAGAAUUAUCGCUUUUUCCUCCCCCCCUCUGAGGCACACAGGUUUCUGCUCCCGGAUGGAGGCUCCGGCACAAUGCGAGCCCCGGGGGAACAGCUCCGAGUGCCCCCAAGUCAGAGGAGGUGGAAAACAGAAGGGUGGCAGAAUGGAAAGGGUGACAACCCGCGCUGCAGUCACACGGCCAGCACGGCCAGGAGGGCAAUUUCCACGCCAAGAGCUUGGAGCUGGCUGGUGAGCACCGCGCCGCGGGGAGCCUGCCCGUGCCGGGCGCACACACACUGCUCCGGCGGGGCUUCGAGGGCUCGGGGCUGAGAGGCAAAGUGCUGAGGAAGCGAGGUCAGACGGGAAAUUGUUCCAGGAGAUAAAGGAACGAGUUAGAAGCCGAGCAGCAGAAUAGGCAGCGCAGGAAACAAUAGUGCCUCAGAUAGCCCCGCGCGCUUCCCCCCGCGAGGCCGAGCGGGCAGCGCUUGGUGGAAGCGAUGCUCUCGUGCUCUUCCCCCCUGAACACGCCGG
Molecule: long non-coding RNA, 1026 nt
Filed under: Anas platyrhynchos (mallard)
Lineage: Eukaryota; Metazoa; Chordata; Aves; Anseriformes; Anatidae
Description: lncRNA (ENSAPLG00020013715.1)
Source: RNAcentral